Molecule: ribosomal RNA, 375 nt
Filed under: uncultured bacterium
Lineage: Bacteria
Description: bacterial SSU rRNA
Rfam family: Bacterial small subunit ribosomal RNA
Source: RNAcentral
ACAUAGGGUGCGAGCGUUAUUCGGAUUUAUUGGGCGUAAAGAGCUCGUAGGCGGUUCGACAAGUCGGGUGUUAAACCCCCAGGCUCAACCUGGGGCCGCCACCCGAAACUGUCGUGACUAGAGUUUGGUAGGGGAUCACGGAAUUCCUGGUGUAGCGGUGGAAUGCGCAGAUAUCAGGAGGAACACCAGUAGCGAAGGCGGUGAUCUGGGCCAAUACUGACGCUGAGGAGCGAAAGCGUGGGGAGCGAACAGGAUUAGAUACCCUGGUAGUCCACGCCGUAAACGGUGGGCACUAGGUGUGGGGACUUUUCAACGGUUUCCGCGCCGCAGCUAACGCAUUAAGUGCCCCGCCUGGGGAGUACGGUCGCAAGACUA